UACGUAGGGGGCUAGCGUUGUCCGGAAUCAUUGGGCGUAAAGAGCGUGUAGGCGGCCCGGUAAGUCCGCUGUAAAAGUCAAAGGCUCAACCUUUGAAUGUCAGUGGAUACUGCCGGGCUAGAGUCCGGAAGAGGCGAGUGGAACUCCUGGUGUAGCGGUGGAAUGCGCAGAUAUCAGGAGGAACACCGAUAGCGAAGGCAGCUCGCUGGGACGGUACUGACGCUGAGGCGCGAAAGCGUGGGGAGCGAACAGG
Molecule: ribosomal RNA, 253 nt
Filed under: uncultured bacterium
Lineage: Bacteria
Description: partial 16S ribosomal RNA
Rfam family: Bacterial small subunit ribosomal RNA
Source: RNAcentral